GGGCUCAGCCGAGGCCCAGGGCGGCUUCUGACGGCCCCGGGCCCACCGCCACCUACCCGCGGCCAUCGCCUCCCUCCCGAGCUUCGCGCCGCCCCCUACAGGCCGCGGGGACCCGUCCGGGCUCGGGUCGCCGUCCCAGGCCGGGUCAGCGGUCCCAGGUCGGACCCCACCGCCAACUGUCAGUCAUCCGAAGCCAUCCCCAUCCCGAGGGCACAGCGUGCACGCGGGUCGCGGGCGGACUGACGGUUCUGGGGCCGUGGGCUUGGCCGCUGCACCUCGUGUCCAGCCUCAACCCGGCACUCGGAACCCGGUCCCUUCCCACCCAGCUCCCGCUGGGCUUCCUCGGUGGAGCAGACCCAUUCUAUGUGUAGAAAAGAUCCCCCUUGCGCGUCCUUGGACUGCCAAACUCAGUGGACAUGACUGGUUGCCAGGAUCUGGGGUUGGGGUGGGAUGGCUGGCAGGCAUUGAGAGGUGGAAGUCAUCUGCAGAGUUUAUUCGGUGCCUCUGGGUUGUCCCAGGGGUCUAUCACUGUAGUCCCAUCCUGUCGUGUCCUUCCUAAUCCUGCCUCCAAGGAUGCUUGCUUGUCCAGCCCCUCGUGGGUACCAUCCAAAUCAGGCACAUCUUUUGGGACAGAAUCAAAAACCAGUAAUGAACGUACCGUUCCCACAUGCAAAUACUUUCCCUAAACCUCCAUUCCUGGAGCCAAGGAAGAGGGCAGGACCGUUAUACAGCCUAACAGAAGCACUAAGCAGAGCGGCAGGACCACAGCACUGGGUGGUACCAGAGGCUCCACCCACCUCUCCAUCCCAGGUACCCUGAGGGCCAGCCUCAUGCCUGGCUCUGGCACCCCAGUUUUUCUCUCACUGUGCAUUUCCUUUUCGUUUCCCCAGGCACAGAAGACAUUGAGAGCCCACGAGGACUGAACUUAGAGACUUUGCCCUCAUUAGCAUGAUGUGGUAGCAAAUUGCCAAGAGGCCUCUAAGGAAAUAAGCUUCACCCUUGCCCCAGAAGCAACAUCAAAAUCCUUCCCUGUUAUUCUUGGGGUGUCUUAAUUCUUCUGAUCCUCUGGCAUGCUUUUGUAACCCACUGGACAACUCGAACUGGGCCAGUACACUCUGUGGAUAGACAACCUUUGAAUUGUUUUUCCGACCCACCCUUCCAUGCUAACUCUUUGCCUAGUUUAACUUCAAAAUCUUUUUGUCUUGUGACAGUUUUGCCGGAAAAGACUUCCAAAUAAUUCACUUUCUCAUUUGCUUUAUCAGAUUUGUGGUCAUAAUCUCCUGUAUGUUCUAAGAGAGAGGCAGCAUGCAGGGGUCUUGCUGUUGAAGCUCUCUAAUUCUGAUGUUUUCAACAAUCACCUGGAAGGUCCUGCUCCUUCUGCAGUAGACUCUAAUUCUCUGCAUUUUACAUGUCAAUAGCAGAACGCUGGGCCCAACAAAGACUCAACUCUUCCCUUGAGUGCUCUGAGCUGAAUUCCCAACAGAUCAUAUGAACGAGAUUUCGUUGAAAUAAACUUGGCAUUUAAAUUAAAAUGUUCCCCAAAGCAUCUUGGCAGAGCAGUAACUAAUGAUGGCAGAAGUCUGUGCCAGGUUUGGAUUUAUCCUGGACCUAAGUGCUUGUCUCCCACAAGCCACUGCUCACACGUGUCAGAGAGGUCCUUGUUCCACCAUCAGCCAAAUGGUUCUUGACACAAGAAGCACCUCAGUGUUCUCCUGUCUCUGAGGAAGCCAUGAACAUACUGCUGAGUGCACUGUCGUUCAACCAGUGUGGGACAGCAGUGUGCUGUAGCGGAGACCCUUGUCAGCUGGUCCCUACUUCCAUGGAGAAAGGCUGGCCCAAGCAGACAGCUUCCUCUCAAAAAUUUUCCAGAGAUUUGGAAAUUAUCCCACAAAUCUGGAAUAUAAAACUUGCUAUGUACUCAGUUGAUUUUCUUAGAGAUAUCACAAAAUGAAAAAGAUUUAGGGGUGUUUAUUGCUAAUGUUAUUAUUAACAUUUUUGAGACAGUCUCUCACUUACUGUAGUCCAGGCUGACCUGGAACUCACUUGUCCCAAACUCUUGGUAAUCCUCCUGGGUUCUGGGAUCACAGACAUGAACCACCAUGACCAUCUUUAUUCUUUGUAACAUUUAUGGAAAGACCUGUUUUCUCCUCUUCCACCUUCAAUGGCAUGAUAAGCAAAAGCUUAGGGAAAUCCUUCUGAUUUUGAAUUUUUGUGUCGUGUUAACAUGACUUUUAAUGGCAUUGAUUUCCAUGAAUGUUAGCAGUCAAUGUCCAGUGUGCAGUGCGUUGCUCCCAGCCCACUUCCCUUCAUCUACCCAUCUCAUACUGUCAACCUUAGAAACUUUUCAUCUCUGAAACCUGAAGCUAGGGACCCACUGUCUAGCCAGAAACUUUACCAUUUCAUCAGACUGUGCUAGUGUGUUCUCUGCUGCUGUAAUAAAAACCGUGAGCAAAAGUCACUUGAAGAAAAGGUUUAAUUUACCUCACACUUCCAGGUCAUGAGUCAUCACUGUGUGAAGUCAUGACAGGAACUCAAGGCAGAAGCUAGGAGCAGAACCCAUGGAGGCACACUGCUUGCCUGCUCACUCACAGUCUUGUGCUCUGCUGGCUUUCUUAUACAGCCCAGAUCGAUCCACUUGCCUAGGGACUGUGCCGCGGUGGGCUGGGCCCUCCCACAUCAGUCAUUAAACAGAUAAUCUCUCACAAGACACAGACACAGGCCACUCUUAUUUGGGGAAUUCCUAAACUGAAGCUUUCUCUCCCCCAGAUGAUUCUAGGUUGUGUCAAGUUGACCCUGAAAACUGAGCAGCACAAGCCCCACCCCGGAUAUCCCAAACCCACCUGCCAGUCAGCAUGGCUGUGCAUCCUCCACCCCAUCCCAUUCUCAGUCCCUCGGCUCUCUUACAUUGUUUCCCUGCCCAGGGGGAAGGAAAAUGCCCAACAGCACCAGGGACCCCACUGAGGGGCAGCAGAAGAAAGCCAUAUUCUCACUGGCAUGCUAGUCCCUUCUUAUCUUUGCCAUCCACUUUGCCGAUGUAGAUCUCCACAUAGAUCUGAUCACGG
Non-coding RNA from Peromyscus maniculatus bairdii (prairie deer mouse), 3062 nucleotides. The record is from RefSeq and is a predicted model, not a curated record. NCBI's taxonomy places the organism in Eukaryota, Metazoa, Chordata, Mammalia, Rodentia, Cricetidae.